AUUGAACGCUAGCGGCAUGCCUUACACAUGCAAGUCGAACGGCAGCGGGGGAGAAGCUUGCUUUUCCUGCCGGCGAGAGGCGAACGGGUGAGUAAUACAUCGGAACGUGCCCUGUAGUGGGGGACAACUAGUCGAAACAUUCGCUAAUACCGCAUACGACCUGCGGGUGAAAGAGUGGGACCGCAAGGCCUCAUGCUAUAGGAUCGGCCGAUGUCUGAUUAGCUAGUUGGUGGGGUAAAGGCCGACCAAGGCGACGAUCAGUAGCUGGUCUGAGAGGACGAUCAGCCACACUGGGACUGAGACACGGCCCAGACUCCUACGGGAGGCAGCAGUGGGGAAUUUUGGACAAUGGGCGAAAGCCUGAUCCAGCAAUGCCGCGUGUGUGAAGAAGGCCUUCGGGUUGUAAAGCACUUUUGUCCGGAAAGAAAUGGCUCUGGUUAAUACCUGGGGUCGAUGACGGUACCGGAAGAAUAAGGACCGGCUAACUACGUGCCAGCAGCCGCCGUAA
This 508-nucleotide ribosomal RNA is filed under the name uncultured bacterium. Its description in RNAcentral is "partial 16S ribosomal RNA". It matches the Rfam family "Bacterial small subunit ribosomal RNA", at positions 30 to 523 of the family's 1533-position model. The record is from RNAcentral.